RNAcentral lists this ribosomal RNA (467 nucleotides) under uncultured bacterium. RNAcentral describes it as "partial 16S ribosomal RNA". It matches the Rfam family "Bacterial small subunit ribosomal RNA", at positions 28 to 506 of the family's 1533-position model. The record is from RNAcentral.
GACGAACGCUGGCGGCGUGCUUAACACAUGCAAGUCGAACGGAAAGGCCCUGCUUUUGUGGGGUGCUCGAGUGGCGAACGGGUGAGUAACACGUGAGUAACCUGCCCUUGACUUUGGGAUAACUUCAGGAAACUGGGGCUAAUACCGGAUAGGAGCUCCUGCUGCAUGGUGGGGGUUGGAAAGUUUCGGCGGUUGGGGAUGGACUCGCGGCUUAUCAGCUCGUUGGUGGGGUAGUGGCUUACCAAGGCUUUGACGGGUAGCCGGCCUGAGAGGGUGACCGGCCACAGUGGGACUGAGAUACGGCCCAGACUCCUACGGGAGGCAGCAGUGGGGAAUAUUGCACAAUGGGCGGAAGCCUGAUGCAGCAACGCCGCGUGCGGGAUGACGGCCUUCGGGUUGUAAACCGCUUUCGCCUGUGACGAAGCGUGAGUGACGGUAAUGGGUAAAGAAGCACCGGCUAACUACGU